UUCUAAGGGCGUUGAAGCAUGAUCGCAAGGACAUGUGGAGCGCUUAGAAGUGAGAAUGCCGGUGUGAGUAGCGAAAGACGGGUGAGAAUCCCGUCCACCGAUUGACUAAGGUUUCCAGAGGAAGGCUCGUCCGCUCUGGGUUAGUCGGGUCCUAAGCUGAGGCCGACAGGCGUAGGCGAUGGAUAACAGGUUGAUAUUCCUGUACCACCAUUAUUCGUUUUAAGCGAUGGGGGGACGCAGUAGGAUAGGCGAAGCGUGCUGUUGGAGUGCACGUCCAAGCAGUGAGAUUGAGUGUUAGGCAAAUCCGGCACUCUUAAGAUUGAGCUGUGAUGGGGAGAGGAACUUGUUCCUCGAGUCGUUGAUUUCACACUGCCGAGAAAAGCCUCUAGCUAGAAUAACGGUGCCCGUACCGCAAACCGACACAGGUAGUCAAGAUGAGAAUUCUAAGGUGAGCGAGCGAACUCUCGUUAAGGAACUCGGCAAAAUGACCCCGUAACUUCGGGAGAAGGGGUGCUCUUUGAGGUUCACGCUUCGAAGAGCCGCAGUGAAUAGGCCCAAGCGACUGUUUAUCAAAAACACAGGUCUCUGCUAAACCGUAAGGUGACGUAUAGGGGCUGACGCCUGCCCGGUGCUGGAAGGUUAAGAGGAGUGGUUAGCGCAAGCGAAGCUACGAAUCGAAGCCCCAGUAAACGGCGGCCGUAACUAUAACGGUCCUAAGGUAGCGAAAUUCCUUGUCGGGUAAGUUCCGACCCGCACGAAAGGCGUAACGAUUUGGGCACUGUCUCAACGAGAGACUCGGUGAAAUCAUAGUACCGGUGAAGAUGCCGGUUACCCGCGACAGGACGGAAAGACCCCGUGGAGCUUUACUGUAGCCUGAUAUUGAAAUUCGGUACAGUUUGUACAGGAUAGGUAGGAGCCUUAGAAGCGUGAGCGCUAGCUUACGUGGAGGCAUUGGUGGGAUACUACCCUAAUUGUAUUGGAUUUCUAACCCGCAGCACUUAUCGUGCUGGGAGACAGUGUCAGGCGGGCAGUUUGACUGGGGCGGUCGCCUCCUAAAGAGUAACGGAGGCGCUCAAAGGUUCCCUCAGAAUGGUUGGAAAUCAUUCAUAGAGUGUAAAGGCAUAAGGGAGCUUGACUGCGAGACCUACAAGUCGAGCAGGGUCGAAAGACGGACUUAGUGAUCCGGUGGUUCCGCAUGGAAGGGCCAUCGCUCAACGGAUAAAAGCUACCC
This 1231-nucleotide ribosomal RNA is filed under the name Staphylococcus pseudintermedius. RNAcentral describes it as "partial 23S ribosomal RNA". It matches the Rfam family "Bacterial large subunit ribosomal RNA", at positions 1239 to 2468 of the family's 2925-position model. The record is from RNAcentral. Lineage: Bacteria; Bacillati; Bacillota; Bacilli; Caryophanales; Staphylococcaceae.